RNAcentral lists this unclassified non-coding RNA (350 nucleotides) under Backusella recurva. RNAcentral's name for it is "partial internal transcribed spacer region". The stretch from base 1 to 46 matches the Rfam family "Eukaryotic small subunit ribosomal RNA", at positions 1786 to 1831 of the family's 1831-position model. The record is from RNAcentral. Lineage: Eukaryota; Fungi; Mucoromycota; Mucoromycetes; Mucorales; Backusellaceae.
AAGUCGUAACAAGGUUUCCGUAGGUGAACCUGCGGAAGGAUCAUUAAAUAAUGAAAGGUUUAUAGUUUCUUGCUAUAGCCUUAACAUCCUUUUACUGUGAAACGUUUUUUAUAUUGACCCUGGGUGGUUGAUGGCUUUUGUCAUCUUCCGCCCACAGUGUAUAUUGUUGGCCUGCUCUUUUCGUUCAUAGAGCCAACUUUAUGUUUGGGAAACCAAAACACUGCGAGAUCAAGGGAGCCGUAUUAGCUCUUAUCUAUGAGACGAAAAAAUUGAAUAGAAAUGAAUUAAUUUAUCUGAGUGAAAUAAUAAAAAGUUUAAAACAACUUUCAACAAUGGAUCUCUAGGUUCUC